CCACCACCAUCAUCAACAUCAUCAUCAUC
This 29-nucleotide non-coding RNA is filed under the name Homo sapiens (human). The record is from RNAcentral. Lineage: Eukaryota; Metazoa; Chordata; Mammalia; Primates; Hominidae.